CACGUAGGGGGCGAGCGUUGUUCGGAAUCAUUGGGCGUAAAGGGCGUGCAGGCGGCACUGCAAGUCCGGCGUGAAAGACCCCGGCCCAACCGGGGGGGUGCGCUGGAAACUGCGGUGCUUGAGUACAGGAGGGGAUGCCGGAAUUCCAGGUGUAGGGGUGAAAUCUGUAGAUAUCUGGAAGAACACCGAUGGCGAAGGCAGGCAUCUGGCCAUGUACUGACGCUGAGACGCGAAGGUGCGGGGAGCAAACAGGUUUAGAUACCCUGGUAGUCCGCACAGUAAACGAUGUGCACCAGGUGGCGGGGGUAGAACCCUCGGUACCGUAGCAAACGCAUUAAGUGCACCGCCUGGGGAGUAUGCUCGCAAGGGUGAA
Molecule: ribosomal RNA, 373 nt
Filed under: uncultured bacterium
Lineage: Bacteria
Description: bacterial SSU rRNA
Rfam family: Bacterial small subunit ribosomal RNA
Source: RNAcentral